RNAcentral lists this transfer RNA (57 nucleotides) under Dipodomys ordii (Ord's kangaroo rat). It matches the Rfam family "tRNA", at positions 8 to 63 of the family's 71-position model. Rfam says of the family: Transfer RNA (tRNA) molecules are approximately 80 nucleotides in length. Their secondary structure includes four short double-helical elements and three loops (D, anti-codon, and T loops). Further hydrogen bonds mediate the characteristic L-shaped molecular structure. tRNAs have two regions of fundamental functional importance: the anti-codon, which is responsible for specific mRNA codon recognition, and the 3' end, to which the tRNAs corresponding amino acid is attached (by aminoacyl-tRNA synthetases). tRNAs cope with the degeneracy of the genetic code in two manners: having more than one tRNA (with a specific anti-codon) for a particular amino acid; and 'wobble' base-pairing, i.e. permitting non-standard base-pairing at the 3rd anti-codon position. Lineage: Eukaryota; Metazoa; Chordata; Mammalia; Rodentia; Heteromyidae. The record is from Rfam by way of RNAcentral.
UGGCCCAGUGGUAGAGUGCUUGCCUUGCAUGCAUGAGGCCCCAGGUUCAAUUCCUUG